RNAcentral lists this ribosomal RNA (249 nucleotides) under uncultured bacterium. Its description in RNAcentral is "partial 16S ribosomal RNA". It matches the Rfam family "Bacterial small subunit ribosomal RNA", at positions 528 to 776 of the family's 1533-position model. The record is from RNAcentral.
UAGGGUGCCAGCGUUGUCCGGAAUUCUUGGGCGUAAAGCGCUCGUAGGCGGUCUGUCGCGUCGGCUGUGAAAACUCGGGGCUCAACUCCGAGCCUGCAGUCGAUACGGGCAGACUAGAGUGCUGUAGGGGAGACUGGAAUUCCUGGUGUAGCGGUGAAAUGCGCAGAUAUCAGGAGGAACACCGGUGGCGAAGGCGGGUCUCUGGGCAGUAACUGACGCUGAGGAGCGAAAGCGUGGGGAGCGAACAGG